This 719-nucleotide unclassified non-coding RNA is filed under the name Hevea brasiliensis (rubber tree). Lineage: Eukaryota; Viridiplantae; Streptophyta; Magnoliopsida; Malpighiales; Euphorbiaceae. The record is from RNAcentral.
CUGAGCCUCUUGUGAAAGUAUUUCCAGGAGCUGUUCUGGGGUAAUCACAAGCUUCACUUUCCAAAACCCAUUGUUGUUACACCUCGAGGAGGAUUCAGUGGAAGACCUCUUCAGCAUUCCUUGAUAAUCAAAAGACAUCCUGUAAGGAGUGACAAAAGAUGAAGGUAUGCUCUUUGAUCUAACAUGGCCUUCUCGCACCACUUGGCCACCAAUUUUUGUGUUGCUGAGUGGAAGUAAAUAGUAGGAGUGUCCUGCUAGGAGAUCUUCAUGGAGAGAGAGAGGUCUCCAGAAAAGAUCAUGGCUUGGAUAAAUGGCAUGACCGGGAAACUCAUUGGUGAUGCAUCCUGCUGUUAUCGGCCCUGAAAACUCCAAGAUGCCACCGCUAGAUGCUAUCACUUUGACUGCUCCACCACCCUCUCCUCCAAGGCCUCCAAACAUGCAGUUUCCCAUAUGAUCUGUUAAUUAACAAUAUAAAAUGAAUGUUUUCUGUAUAUACAAAGCCAAAAGAAAACAACCCUUCUCUCCUUCUCUUAUAAAUGCUUGGAGGGUAUAAAGAGAGGGAAAGUUCUGGAGGGAAAACAAUCGUCGGUGGGAUUCUCCUUCUUUGGGGCUUCCUAAGACCCACAAGAGAAACAAAAGGCAGGAAAAGAAAGGGAACCACCGCCACCACUUACUACUAUAGGUAGCUCCAUAUAGGUAGUCCCACUGUUCAUACACAG